UACGAAGGGUGCAAGCGUUAAUCGGAAUUACUGGGCGUAAAGCGUGCGUAGGUGGUUUUUUAAGUCUGCUGUGAAAGCCCUGGGCUCAACCUGGGAAUGGCGGUGGAUACUGAAAAGCUAGAGUGCGGUAGAGGAGGGUGGAAUUCCCGGUGUAGCGGUGAAAUGCGUAGAGAUGCGGAGGAACACCGAUGGCGAAGGCAGCCCCCUGGGCCGACAUUGACGCUCAGGCACGAAAGCGUGGGGAGCAAACAGG
Molecule: ribosomal RNA, 253 nt
Filed under: uncultured bacterium
Lineage: Bacteria
Description: partial 16S ribosomal RNA
Rfam family: Bacterial small subunit ribosomal RNA
Source: RNAcentral